Molecule: ribosomal RNA, 774 nt
Filed under: Betacixius sp. 4 YL-2022a
Lineage: Eukaryota; Metazoa; Arthropoda; Insecta; Hemiptera; Cixiidae
Description: SSU rRNA
Rfam family: Eukaryotic small subunit ribosomal RNA
Source: RNAcentral
AACCAUAAACCAUGCCUGCCAGCGAUCCGCCGGCGUUCCUCCGAUGACCCGGCGGGCAGCUUCCGGGAAACCAGAGCUUUUGGGUUCCGGGGGAAGUAUGGUUGCAAAGCUGAAACUUAAAGGAAUUGACGGAAGGGCACCACCAGGAGUGGAGCCUGCGGCUUAAUUUGACUCAACACGGGAAAACUCACCAGGCCCGGACACCGGAAGGAUUGACAGAUUGAGAGCUCUUUCUUGAUUCGGUGGGUGGUGGUGCAUGGCCGUUCUUAGUUGGUGGAGCGAUUUGUCUGGUUAAUUCCGAUAACGAACGAGACUCUAUCCUAUUAAAUAGACGCAUCCGGUAUCCGCAAUCGUGCUACCGGCGAAUAAAUUUCUUCUUAGAGGUACGGGCGGCUGCUAGCCGCACGAUACUGGGCAAUAACAGGUCUGUGAUGCCCUUAGAUGUCCUGGGCCGCACGCGCGCUACACUGAAGGAAUCAGCGUGUCUUCCCUGUCCGUGAGGACCGGGUAACCCGCUGAACCUCCUUCGUGAUAGGGAUUGGGGCUUGAAACUGUUCCCCAUGAACGAGGAAUUCCCAGUAAGCGCGAGUCAUAAGCUCGCGUUGAUUACGUCCCUGCCCUUUGUACACACCGCCCGUCGCUACUACCGAUUGAAUGAUUUAGUGAGGUCUUCGGACUGGCGCGCGGAGUCGGCAUCGUCGCCUCCGAUGUCGUCGGAAAGAUGACCAAACUUGAUCAUUUAGAGGAAGUAAAAGUCGUAACAAGGUUUCCGAG